UAGGUAUUAGUAAAACUUAUUACAUAACUUUGUCAAAGUUAAAUUACUGGUUCAAUUCCUGUAUAUCUUA
This 70-nucleotide transfer RNA is filed under the name Trinomys yonenagae. RNAcentral's name for it is "tRNA-Asp". It matches the Rfam family "tRNA". From Rfam's summary of the family: Transfer RNA (tRNA) molecules are approximately 80 nucleotides in length. Their secondary structure includes four short double-helical elements and three loops (D, anti-codon, and T loops). The record is from RNAcentral. Lineage: Eukaryota; Metazoa; Chordata; Mammalia; Rodentia; Echimyidae.